This 432-nucleotide ribosomal RNA is filed under the name uncultured bacterium. RNAcentral describes it as "bacterial SSU rRNA". It matches the Rfam family "Bacterial small subunit ribosomal RNA", at positions 30 to 498 of the family's 1533-position model. The record is from RNAcentral.
AUUGAACGCUGGCGGUAUGCUUAAGACAUGCAAGUCGUGCGGUAGGGGCUUCGGCCCUGAGAGCGGCGGACGGGUGAGUAACGCGUGGGAAUCUGCCUGCUAGUGGGGGAUAGCCCGGAGAAAUCCGGAUUAAUACCGCAUACGCCCUAAGGGGGAAAGCCGCAAGGCGCUAGUAGAUGAGCUCGCGUAAGAUUAGCUAGUUGGUGAGGUAAAGGCUCACCAAGGCGACGAUCUUUAGCUGGUCUGAGAGGAUGGCCAGCCACAUCGGGACUGAGACACGGCCCGGACUCCUACGGGAGGCAGCAGUCGGGAAUAUUGGACAAUGGGCGCAAGCCUGAUCCAGCAAUACCGCGUGUGUGAAGAAGGCCUGCGGGUUGUAAAGCACUUUCAGUUGGGAAGAUAAUGACGUUACCAACAGAAGAAGCACCGGCU